RNAcentral lists this ribosomal RNA (590 nucleotides) under Pseudomonas sp. LZT1. RNAcentral's name for it is "bacterial SSU rRNA". It matches the Rfam family "Bacterial small subunit ribosomal RNA", at positions 8 to 591 of the family's 1533-position model. Lineage: Bacteria; Pseudomonadati; Pseudomonadota; Gammaproteobacteria; Pseudomonadales; Pseudomonadaceae. The record is from RNAcentral.
AGAGUUUGAUCCUGGCUCAGAUUGAACGCUGGCGGCAGGCCUAACACAUGCAAGUCGAGCGGUAGAGAGAAGCUUGCUUCUCUUGAGAGCGGCGGACGGGUGAGUAAUGCCUAGGAAUCUGCCUGGUAGUGGGGGAUAACGUUCGGAAACGGACGCUAAUACCGCAUACGUCCUACGGGAGAAAGCAGGGGACCUUCGGGCCUUGCGCUAUCAGAUGAGCCUAGGUCGGAUUAGCUAGUUGGUGGGGUAAUGGCUCACCAAGGCGACGAUCCGUAACUGGUCUGAGAGGAUGAUCAGUCACACUGGAACUGAGACACGGUCCAGACUCCUACGGGAGGCAGCAGUGGGGAAUAUUGGACAAUGGGCGAAAGCCUGAUCCAGCCAUGCCGCGUGUGUGAAGAAGGUCUUCGGAUUGUAAAGCACUUUAAGUUGGGAGGAAGGGCAGUUACCUAAUACGUGAUUGUUUUGACGUUACCCGACAGAAUAAGCACCGGCUAACUCUGUGCCAGCAGCCGCGGUAAUACAGAGGGGUGCAAGCGUUAAUCGGAAUUACUGGGCGUUAAGCGCCGCGUAGUGGUUCGUUAAGUUGG